This 465-nucleotide ribosomal RNA is filed under the name Vreelandella stevensii. RNAcentral's name for it is "partial 16S ribosomal RNA". It matches the Rfam family "Bacterial small subunit ribosomal RNA", at positions 338 to 795 of the family's 1533-position model. The record is from RNAcentral. Lineage: Bacteria; Pseudomonadati; Pseudomonadota; Gammaproteobacteria; Oceanospirillales; Halomonadaceae.
CCUACGGGGGGCUGCAGUGGGGAAUAUUGGACAAUGGGGGGAACCCUGAUCCAGCCAUGCCGCGUGUGUGAAGAAGGCCCUCGGGUUGUAAAGCACUUUCAGUGAGGAAGAACGCCUGGUGGUUAAUACCCAUCAGGAAAGACAUCACUCACAGAAGAAGCACCGGCUAACUCCGUGCCAGCAGCCGCGGUAAUACGGAGGGUGCGAGCGUUAAUCGGAAUUACUGGGCGUAAAGCGCGCGUAGGUGGCUUGAUAAGCCGGUUGUGAAAGCCCCGGGCUCAACCUGGGAACGGCAUCCGGACCUGUCAAGCUAGAGUGCAGGAGAGGAAGGUAGAAUUCCCGGUGUAGCGGUGAAAUGCGUAGAGAUCGGGAGGAAUACCAGUGGCGAAGGCGGCCUUCUGGACUGACACUGACACUGAGGUGCGAAAGCGUGGGUAGCAAACAGGAUUAGAUACCCCAGUAGUC